RNAcentral lists this ribosomal RNA (2044 nucleotides) under human gut metagenome. RNAcentral's name for it is "bacterial LSU rRNA". It matches the Rfam family "Bacterial large subunit ribosomal RNA", at positions 508 to 2573 of the family's 2925-position model. The record is from RNAcentral.
GGAAAGGUGAAAAGAACCCCGAACAGGGGAGUGAAAUAGAACCUGAAACCAUACGCUUACAACCGGUCGGAGCAGCUUCGUGCUGUGACGGCGUGCCUAUUGAAUAAUGAGCCUACGAGUUACUAAUCACUAGCGAGGUUAAGUGCAAGGAUGCACGGAGCCGAAGCGAAAGCGAGUCUGAACAGGGCGUUUAGUUAGUGGUUGUAGACGCGAAACCUUGCGAUCUACCCUUGAGCAGGUUGAAGGUUGGGUAAAACCAACUGGAGGACCGAACGAAUAAGCGUUGAAAAGCUUCUCGAUGACUUGAGGGUAGGGGUGAAAGGCUAAUCAAGCUGGGAAAUAGCUCGUACUCCCCGAAAUGCCUUUAGGGGCAGCGUUGUAAUUGAGAGUCUACUGGAGGUAGAGCUACUGAUUGGAUGCGGGGGCUUCACCGCCUACCAAAUCCUGACAAACUCCGAAUGCCAGUAGUAUGAUUUACAGCAGUGAGCGACCGGGUGCUAAUGUCCGGUCACAAAAGAGGAACAACUCAGACCAGCAACUAAGGUCCCGAAGAAUAUGCUAAGUUGAUCUAACGAUGUUUUGUUGCAGAGACAGCUAGGAUGUUAGCUUGGAAGCAGCUAUUCAUUCAAAGAGUGCGUAACAGCUCACUAGUCGAGCGACAAAGCGUGGAUAAUAAACGGGCAUCAAGUAUACCACCGAAGUUCUGGGCACGAAAGUGCGGUAGGGGAGCAUUCCAUUCUGCGUCGAAGCCGAAUCGUGAGAUUUGGUGGAGCGUAUGGAAAAGCAAAUGUAGGCAUGAGUAACGAUAAUGCGGGAGAGUAACCCGCACACCGCAAGACCAAGGUUUCCUGAUCAACGCUAAUCGGAUCAGGGUUAGUCGGGUCCUAAGGGUAAGCCGAACGGCGAUCUCGAUGGAUAAUCGGUUAAUAUUCCGAUACUAACAUAUACCUCGAUGGAGAGACGAAGGAACGUAAGUGCCGCCGCCUGACGGAAUAGGUGGUUAAAGGGCGUAGGUAUAGGGACAGAUUAAGAGUUAGUCCUUGCUGAAACCCGACAGUACAGAGAGCCUACGGGCAAUUUGAUAGUGCACCCAAGUCGACUUCCGAGAAAAUCUUCUAAGUUAUAGUAUAUGUUACCCGUACCGUAAACCGACACAGGUGGUCGAGGAGAGUAUCCUAAGGUGCUCGAGUGAAUCACGGUUAAGGAACUAGGCAAAUUAACCCCGUAACUUCGGGAAAAGGGGUCCCUAUGAAAGUAGGGCGCAGCGAAGAGGUCCAGGCGACUGUUUAUCAAAAACACAGGGCUCUGCAAAUUCGAAAGAAGACGUAUAGGGCCUGACACCUGCCCGGUGCUGGAAGGUUAAGAGGGGAUGUCAUCGCAAGAGAAGCAUUGAAUCGAAGCCCCAGUAAACGGCGGCCGUAACUAUAACGGUCCUAAGGUAGCGAAAUUCCUUGUCGGGUAAGUUCCGACCUGCACGAAUGGUGUAACGAUCUGGACACUGUCUCAACCGUGAGCUCGGUGAAAUUGUAGUCCCGGUGAUGAUGCCGGGUACCCGCAACGGGACGAAAAGACCCCGUGAACCUUUACUAUAGCUUAACGCUGAAUUUGGGUACACAAUGUGUAGGAUAGGCCGGAGGCUUUGAAGCGGGCACGCCAGUGUUCGUGGAGCCGACGUUGAAAUACGGCCCUUUGUGUAUUUGAGUUCUAACCCUGCGAAGGGGACACCGUUUGGUGGGUAGUUUGACUGGGGUGGUCGCCUCCAAAAGCGUAACGGAGGCUUCCCAAGGUACCCUCAGCACGAAUGGUAACCGUGCGCGGAGUGCAAUAGCAUAAGGGUGCUUGACUGUGAGACAUACAAGUCGACCAGGUACGAAAGUAGGGUAUAGUGAUCCGGUGGUUCUGCGUGGACUGGCCAUCGCUCAAAGGAUAAAAGGUACUCCGGGGAUAACAGGCUGAUCGCCGCCAAGAGCUCAUAUCGACGCGGCGGUUUGGCACCUCGAUGUCGGCUCGUCACAUCCUGGGGCUGGAGAAGGUCCCAAGGGUU